UGUUGAUCCUGCCAGUAUUAUAUGCUUGUCUCAAAGAUUAAGCCAUGCAUGUCUAAGUAUAAGCAAUUUAUACAGUGAAACUGCGAAUGGCUCAUUAAAUCAGUUAUCGUUUAUUUGAUAGUUCCUUUACUACAUGGUAUAACUGUGGUAAUUCUAGAGCUAAUAUAUGCUUAAAAUCUCGACCCUUUGGAAGAGAUGUAUUUAUUAGAUAAAAAAUCAAUGUCUUCGGACUCUUUGAUGAUUCAUAAUAACUUUUCGAAUCGCAUGGCCUUGUGCUGGCGAUGGUUCAUUCAAAUUUCUGCCCUAUCAACUUUCGAUGGUAGGAUAGUGGCCUACCAUGGUUUCAACGGGUAACGGGGAAUAAGGGUUCGAUUCCGGAGAGGGAGCCUGAGAAACGGCUACCACAUCCAAGGAAGGCAGCAGGCGCGCAAAUUACCCAAUCCUAAUUCAGGGAGGUAGUGACAAUAAAUAACGAUACAGGGCCCAUUCGGGUCUUGUAAUUGGAAUGAGUACAAUGUAAAUACCUUAACGAGGAACAAUUGGAGGGCAAGUCUGGUGCCAGCAGCCGCGGUAAUUCCAGCUCCAAUAGUG
This 591-nucleotide ribosomal RNA is filed under the name uncultured Saccharomyces. RNAcentral describes it as "SSU rRNA". It matches the Rfam family "Eukaryotic small subunit ribosomal RNA", at positions 6 to 599 of the family's 1831-position model. Lineage: Eukaryota; Fungi; Ascomycota; Saccharomycetes; Saccharomycetales; Saccharomycetaceae. The record is from RNAcentral.